GCGGGAGGGUGCCUGGCCUGGCUUCCUGCCUGCAGCUCAGCGUGGCUCCACGGUCAAUGCCAGCUGUGCCGGGAAGGUGUGACCUCGUGAAGGACGCUGUCACAGCCAGGCAGUCCUUCCUCAAAGGGGCACAGGGCACGCCUCGCUGCACACCGUGCAUGCAUCCACGGGGCUCAGCAGAAGGUCUGAGUCCAGCCCAGGGGCCCUGAUGUCAGCCGUGCCUCCACAGGGGACCCGCUUCCUAAUUUGCAUGAGGGCACCAUCUGGCCUGGCAGCUGCUGGACGAGAGUGAGGAAAACCCUUCAAAACUACAGCUGGGGGCCCCAAACAUGUCCAGCAGCCCGGGCCUGGCCCCCCAUUCACCAAGGACCUGAUACCAAGCAGAUAAAGAAUAACAUUCAUGAAAAUGUGCAAUGGGGAAACAGAGAAACCUUGGAUAAGAUUUCGAUGAGUCCAUGACUCACUCUGUAAUGGAACAGAACAGAAGAAGGCAGGCUGGGGACAUUACCAGGAUGAAAAGUAGCCAUGAGCUCAAUUUCCCCACAAGGUAAUAUCUUCCAACUUGAUGAGCAGCUGCCGUUUUCACCUCUGAUCAAGGCUGACGGCCACAGGCC
This is a long non-coding RNA of Suricata suricatta (meerkat), 614 nucleotides long. RefSeq lists it as uncharacterized. NCBI's taxonomy places the organism in Eukaryota, Metazoa, Chordata, Mammalia, Carnivora, Herpestidae. The record is from RefSeq and is a predicted model, not a curated record. The transcript is spliced from 3 exons.